GACAGAGGCCUCGAGCGUUAGGCGGAAUCACUGGGCUUAAAGCGUGUGUAGGCGGAUCGUUAAGUGCCUUGUGAAAUCCCACGGCUUAACUGUGGAACGGCUGGGCAUACUGGCGGUCUUGAGCCAUCUAGGGGCGACUGGAACAAACGGUGGAGCGGUGAAAUGCGUAGAUAUUGUGAGGAACACUAGUGGCGAAGGCGAGACUCUGGACAGUUCCUGACGCUGAGGCACGGAGGCCAGGGGAGCAAACGGG
This 253-nucleotide ribosomal RNA is filed under the name uncultured bacterium. RNAcentral describes it as "partial 16S ribosomal RNA". It matches the Rfam family "Bacterial small subunit ribosomal RNA", at positions 524 to 776 of the family's 1533-position model. The record is from RNAcentral.